CCUACGAGAGGCAGCAGUGGGGAAUAUUGGGCAAUGGGCGCAAGCCUGACCCAGCAACGCCGCGUGAAGGAAGAAGGCUUUCGGGUUGUAAACUUCUUUUCUCAGGGACGAAGCAAGUGACGGUACCUGAGGAAUAAGCCACGGCUAACUACGUGCCAGCAGCCGCGGUAAUACGUAGGUGGCAAGCGUUAUCCGGAUUUACUGGGUGUAAAGGGCGUGUAGGCGGGGACGCAAGUCAGAUGUGAAAACCACGGGCUCAACCUGUGGGCUGCAUUUGAAACUGGGUUUCUUGAGUUCUGGAGAGGCAGAUGGAAUUCCUAGUGUAGCGGUGAAAUGCGUAGAUAGUAGGAGGAACACCAGUGGCGAAGGCGGUCUGCUGGACAGUAACUGACGCUGAGGUGCGAAAGCGUGGGGAGCAAACAGGAUUAGAUACCCGUGUAGUC
This 443-nucleotide ribosomal RNA is filed under the name uncultured bacterium. RNAcentral describes it as "partial 16S ribosomal RNA". It matches the Rfam family "Bacterial small subunit ribosomal RNA", at positions 338 to 795 of the family's 1533-position model. The record is from RNAcentral.